RNAcentral lists this ribosomal RNA (321 nucleotides) under Rhogostoma sp. Its description in RNAcentral is "SSU rRNA". The stretch from base 111 to 321 matches the Rfam family "Eukaryotic small subunit ribosomal RNA", at positions 743 to 955 of the family's 1831-position model. Lineage: Eukaryota; Cercozoa; Thecofilosea; Cryomonadida; Rhogostomidae. The record is from RNAcentral.
GAUCUUGGGUCGGGGGGAGCGGUCCGCCCCUUCGUGGGUGUGCACUGGUCCCACCCGACCUUGUUUCUGCCGGGGACGCGCUCCUGGCCUUCGCUGGUCGGGACGCGGAGUCGGCGACGUUACUUUGAAAAAAUUAGAGUGUUUAAAGCAGGCUUUUGCUAUGAAUACAUUAGCAUGGAAUAAUAAUCUAGGACUUCGGUUCUAUUUUGUUGGUUUCUAUAACUGAAGUAAUGAUUGAUAGGGAUAGUUGGGGGUGCUAGUAUUGGCCGGCCAGAGGUGAAAUUCUUGGAUUCGGUCAAGACUAACUUAUGCGAAAGCAUU